AUGGGUGUCACCUCCCCAGGGGUGGCUCUGGGCUCUCUCAGUGCCCAACACUCACAGUUUUGGGGCUGGGGGCUUGGGGAGGCCUGGGCUGAGCCAGAGGUGCUGGUGUCACCCUGGGGUGGUGUCACCCCAGGGAUAGUGCCAACCUGGGGCUGGUGUCACCCCAGGGCUGGUGUCACCCUUGGGAUUGUGUCACCCUUGGGAUGGUGUCACCCCCUGACCAGUGUCACCCCCAGGCCGGUGUCACCCUUGGGCUGGUGUCACCCGUGGGAUGGUGUCACCCCUGGGCUGGUGUCACCCCUGGGAUGGUGCCACCCAGGGAUGGUGUCACCCUUGGGAUGGUGUCACCCCCUGACCAGUGUCACCCCCAGGCCGGUGUCACCCCUGGGAUGGUGCCACCCCUGGGAUGGUGCCACCCCUGGGAUGGUGCCACCCAGGGAUGGUGUCACCCUUGGGAUGGUGUCACCCCCUGACCAGUGUCACCCCCUGGCCGGUGUCACCCCAGGGAUGGUGUCACCCCCUGGCUGGUGCCACCCCCGGUGUCACGGGCAGGGUCCUGCCCCUGCUCACCCCUGGCUCCUCCGCAGCCGCUCCGGGCAGGGCCGGGCUCAGUCUCGGGGGGCAGCGAUGCGAUCCACCUGCAAAAGGGACAGAAGGGACACGCAGCCUAAAAACAGCCGCCCCCGGGGAAACCAACCCACGGACACGGGUGGGAUUCCAGGGGUGGAAUUCCAGGGGUGGGAUUCCAGGGGUGGGAAUUCCAGGGGUGGGAUUCCAGGGGUGGGAUUCCAGGGGUGGGAUUCCAGGGGUGGGAUUCCAGGGGUGGGAUUCCAGGGGUGGGAUUCCAGGGGUGCAUUUCCAGGGGUGGGAUUCUGGGGGUGGAAUUCCAGGGGUGCAUUUCCAGGGGUGGGAUUCCAGGGGUGGGAUUCCAGGGGUGGGAUUCCAGAGGUGGAAUUCCAGCAUUCUCUCACUGUGGGAUUCCCUGUCAAAGGCAGCCAGGAGCUUCCAGAAGCUUCCAGCAUUUCUGGAAGGAGGGUGACACUCACUGAGCAGGGGCCAGGGAUGGGCUGGGCUGUGCUGGCUGCAGCUGCCUCGGUGAUCAUUAAAUAA
This 1110-nucleotide long non-coding RNA is filed under the name Taeniopygia guttata (zebra finch). RNAcentral describes it as "lncRNA (ENSTGUG00000028414.1)". Lineage: Eukaryota; Metazoa; Chordata; Aves; Passeriformes; Estrildidae. The record is from RNAcentral.